CUGUACUUGUAAACCUAGUGAUAUACACGGUUAGUGGUCGGACGGGUGGAGUAACGCGUGGAGUAACCUAGCCGUAUACCGGGGAGUAACAACUAGAAUAGGUAGCUAAUACGCAUGAGCGCACAGCUCCGCAUGGAGCGGUGUGAAAAACUACCGGUGGUAUACGAUGGAUCCGCGUCUGAUUAGCCAGUUGGCGGGGUAACGGCCCGACCAAAGCGACGAUCAGUAGCCGGCCGUGAGAGGGUGAACGGCCACAUUGGGACUGAGACACGGCCCAGACUCCUACGGGAGGCAGCAGUGGGGAAUAUUGCACAAUGGGGGAAACCCUGAUGCAGCGACGCCGCGUGAGUGAAGAAGUAUCUCGGUAUGUAAAGCUCUAUCAGCAGGAAAGAUAAUGACGGUACCUGACUAAGAAGCCCCGGCUAACUACGUG
This 433-nucleotide ribosomal RNA is filed under the name uncultured Lachnospiraceae bacterium. Its description in RNAcentral is "bacterial SSU rRNA". It matches the Rfam family "Bacterial small subunit ribosomal RNA", at positions 49 to 507 of the family's 1533-position model. The record is from RNAcentral. Lineage: Bacteria; Bacillati; Bacillota; Clostridia; Lachnospirales; Lachnospiraceae.